GCCGGAUAGUUCACAAUGCCUGGAACGGUUUGUGAAUCAAGGUACGAUGGGUCUGCGGCGUAUCAGGUUGUAAGGGGUGUAAAGGACCCCCUAGCCUUCGACGCGUACGGGUGUUGGGAGACAUAGCCCGGAGAUGGAUUCUGAGACACGAAUCCAGACCCUACGGGGUGCAGCAGGCGCGAAAACUUCACACUGCGGGAAACUGUGAUGAGGGAACUCCUAGUGCAUGCACUAUGUGUAUGUACAUCCUACUCUUAACAAGUAGAGGGAAAGGGCUGGGAAAGACCGGUGCCAGCCGCCGCGGUAAUACCGGCAGCUCAAGUGGUCGUCGCUUUUAUUGGGCCUAAAACGUCCGUAGCCUGUCUGGUAAAUCUGUGGGUAAAUCAAUCCGCUCAACGGAUUGAAUUCUGCAGAGACUGCCAGACUAGGGACCGGGAGAGGUGUGGGGUACUCGAGGGGUACGGGUAAAAUCCUGUCAUCCUUCGAGGACCACCAGUUGCG
RNAcentral lists this ribosomal RNA (501 nucleotides) under uncultured rumen archaeon. Its description in RNAcentral is "bacterial SSU rRNA". It matches the Rfam family "Archaeal small subunit ribosomal RNA", at positions 151 to 668 of the family's 1478-position model. The record is from RNAcentral.